GUAUGUCCUCAUGCAUAGUGGGAGCUAAGCUACGAGGAUGCAAAGGCACAAGAAUGGUACAGUGGACUCUGGGGACCUAAGGGGAAAGGUUGAGAAAGGGGUGAGGGAUAAAAGAUUACAGAUUGGGUGCAGUGUAUACUGCUCGUGUGAUGGGCACACCAAAAUCUCACGAAUCACCAUUAAAGAAUUUACUCGUGUAACCAGACACCACCUGUUCCCCAAUAAUCUAAGGAAAUAAAAAUAAAUUCAAAAAAUAAAAGUAAGAAAGAAUGACACUGACAGAAAUCUAUAGGAAAUAGGAGGCUAUUUGCUGGACCAGAGUUUCUACAUAGGCAUGGUUUAUUCUGUUGCUUAAAAACAAACCAUGUUCCGUUACUUAUUUUUCUAAUAAAGAAGAACAACAUCUGACUUCUACUGAGCUCAGUAUGCCUUUGUUGUUAAAAAAGCAAGCUCUGGAGUCAGCCCUGACUGAAUUCAAAUCCUAGCACCACCACCUUGACCUUGGGAAAAUUACUGUACCUCACUUUGUCCCGGUCACAUUUGUGAAACAGGACUAAUAGUACCUAACUCAUAAUCUGUGGAAAUCAACUACAAUGAUGAGCUGUAAGAGCUUAGCAGAGUGCCUGAAAUACAGAAAAUACCUAGUAAAUAUUUGCGUUUAUUAUGCUGUUUGUUUUUUGGAGGCAGAGUCUCACGCUGUCCUUCAGGCUGGAGUGUAGUGGCGCCAUCUCGGCUCACUGAACCUCUGUCUCCUGGGUUCAAGUGACUCCCCUGCCUCAGUCACCCAAGUAGCUGGAAUUACAGGCACAUGACACCAUGCCCAGCUAAUUUGUUUGUUUAUUUUUGUAUUUUUAGUAGAGGUGUGGUUUCACCAUGUUGUCCAGGCUGGUCUCAAACUCCUGACCUCAGAUGAUCCACCCACCUCAGCCUCCCAAAGUGCUGGGAUUACAGGUGUGAAGCCACCGUGUCUGGCUUUUUUAUGACGUAUUUUUGCCAGAUGCUUUUUGUGUGUUAUGUCCACACAUUUUAAAAAUGUAUCCAUAAGAGCAUCUUUACCCAUUGGAUAUUUUGUUCCCGUAGUAUAAGUGAGGAAAUAGAGGCUCAGAGUAUUCAAGUCAUAUAUCGAAGAUCACACUGUGGUACAUUGCACGAGGGAGAUUACAACUCAGGUCACUUUGGCCCCAUUGUGGGUCACAUAUUCUAUUUCAUCUCUAAACAAACUCAGGGGACCCAAGCAUUAUAAAUGAGUAAUCCAGAUAAUUCUUCAACAAAAUAGAGUGUCCAAGGAAGUCUUUGGGUUUGCUUUUGUUCUGCCUGAACCAAAAUCAUGGCACUUAAUAAAAUCUUUCCGGCAGUCCCUAAAAUCUUACUGGCAAGGGUGCUUUUAUUAUAAACACAUCUUCCUAUAAAUUUUGUUAAGUAUUUCAUCUUUGUUAUCUUGCUGAAGCAGAAGGGUACUGUUCUGGAAUGUGAAAUGUAUGAAAUUACAAUGUUAGAAGGUGGAAGUAAGUCCUACUUUUCCCCAUGGAAGAAGUUUGAGAGGCAGUGCUUGGGCAGGUUUCAUCCUUACAUGGCCAGACCUGACCCUAUAAAGAUGAAUGGCUAUUACAGUGGGGCUCAGAGAGGUAAGCCGACAUGCCUCAGUUUACCUAACUAGUAACUGAGCCCUACUUUCAUCAGUUCAAAAACCAGAAAAAGAAAGAACUGCCGGCAGAAGGGAAACGUGAAGAAGGUGAAGAUGGCGGUGGCCAGGGCCGGGGUCCUGGGAGUUCAGUGGCUGCAAAGGGCAUCCCGGAACGUGGUGCCGCUGGGUGCACGGACAGCCUCCCGCAUGCCCAAGGACAUGUUGCCAGGGCCCUAUCCUAGGACCCCAGAAGAACGGGCCACCGCCGCCAAGAAGUAUAAUAUGCGUGUGGAAGACUACGAGCCUUACCCGGAUGAGGGCAUGGGGUAUGGCGACUACCCGAAGCUCCCUGACCGUUCACAGCAUGAGAGGGAUCCAUGGUAUAGCUGGGACCAGCCGGACCUGAGGUUGAACUGGGGUGAACCGAUGCACUGGCACGUAGACAUGUACACCAGGAACCGUGUGGAUACGUCCCCCACACCUGUUUCUUGGAAUGUCAUGUGUAUGCACCUCUUCGGUUUCCUGGCUUUCAUGACAUUCAUGUUCUGGGUGGGGGACGUGUACCCUUCCUACCAGCCUGUGGGACCAAAGCAGUAUCCUUACAAUAAUCUGUACCUGGAACGAGGCGGUGAUCCCUCCAAAGAACCUGAGCCAGUGGUUCACUAGGAGAUCUGAGGAGGCUUUGUGGGCUUUUGUGUCCUCUUAACUAGGACUCCCUUAUUCCUAGAAAUUUAAUCUUAAUGAAAUCCCUAAUAAAACUCAGUGCUGUGGU
This is a non-coding RNA of Macaca mulatta (Rhesus monkey), 2396 nucleotides long. Lineage: Eukaryota; Metazoa; Chordata; Mammalia; Primates; Cercopithecidae. The record is from RefSeq and is a predicted model, not a curated record.